RNAcentral lists this ribosomal RNA (452 nucleotides) under uncultured bacterium. RNAcentral's name for it is "bacterial SSU rRNA". It matches the Rfam family "Bacterial small subunit ribosomal RNA", at positions 29 to 524 of the family's 1533-position model. The record is from RNAcentral.
AGCGAACGCUGGCGGCAGGCUUAACACAUGCAAGUCGAACGGGCGUAGCAAUACGUCAGUGGCAGACGGGUGAGUAACGCGUGGGAACGUACCUUUUGGUUCGGAACAACCCAGGGAAACUUGGGCUAAUACCGGAUAAGCCCUUACGGGGAAAGAUUUAUCGCCGAAAGAUCGGCCCGCGUCUGAUUAGCUAGUUGGUGUGGUAACGGCGCACCAAGGCGACGAUCAGUAGCUGGUCUGAGAGGAUGAUCAGCCACAUUGGGACUGAGACACGGCCCAAACUCCUACGGGAGGCAGCAGUGGGAAUAUUGGACAAUGGGCGCAAGCCUGAUCCAGCCAUGCCGCGUGAGUGAUGAAGGCCCUAGGGUUGUAAAGCUCUUUUGUGCGGGAAGAUAAUGACGGUACCGCAAAGAAUAAGCCCCGGCUAACUUCGUGCCAGCAGCCGCUGUAAG